UGUGCGGGUUCACGGACUCAGUGGC
This 25-nucleotide non-coding RNA is filed under the name Mus musculus (house mouse). Lineage: Eukaryota; Metazoa; Chordata; Mammalia; Rodentia; Muridae. The record is from RNAcentral.